RNAcentral lists this long non-coding RNA (306 nucleotides) under Vombatus ursinus (common wombat). RNAcentral describes it as "lncRNA (ENSVURG00010006100.1)". The record is from RNAcentral. Lineage: Eukaryota; Metazoa; Chordata; Mammalia; Diprotodontia; Vombatidae.
CGGCGUCCUUGGCAACCAGGUUUGGCGCUCGUGAAUGGGAACCCCCAGCAGGUUGAUUACCUGAGAAUAUGCCUAUUACCAGGGUGCCUGUUAUAAACAGAUUUGGAGUAAUAUCGACCUCUUACCAUGAAGAGCUUUUGAAACGUAGUUCAGAAAAUGUAACUGAAGUAAAUAUUAAAAAGCCAAGAAAACCUCUGUUAAUCACAAAAGAGUUCAUCAAGAAAUUCAAUAACACCGAAAAUCCACAGGAUAAGAAGUUCUUACAGGACCAGGCUAUAAAAAUGCUAUUUAGAUGCAAGGUAAUUU